AAAGAAACCAACCGGGAUUGCCUCAGUAACGGCGAGUGAAGCGGCAAGAGCUCAAAUUUGAAAUCUGGCCCCCUCCGGGGUCCGAGUUGUAAUUUGCAGAGGAUGCUUUGGGUGCGGCCCCCGUCUAAGUGCCCUGGAACGGGCCGUCAUAGAGGGUGAGAAUCCCGUCUGGGACGGGGUGUCCGUGCCCGUGUAAAGCUCCUUCGACGAGUCGAGUUGUUUGGGAAUGCAGCUCUAAAUGGGUGGUAAAUUUCAUCUAAAGCUAAAUACUGGCCGGAGACCGAUAGCGCACAAGUAGAGUGAUCGAAAGAUGAAAAGCACUUUGAAAAGAGAGUUAAACAGCACGUGAAAUUGUUGAAAGGGAAGCGCUUGCGACCAGACUCGCCUACGGGGUUCAGCCGGCAUUCGUGCCGGUGUACUUCCCCGUGGGCGGGCCAGCGUCGGUUUGGGCGGUCGGUCAAAGGCCUCCGGAAUGUAUCACCCCCCGGGGUGUCUUAUAGCCGGAGGUGCAAUGCGGCCAGCCUAGACCGAGGAACGCGCUUCGGCUCGGACGCUGGCAUAAUGGUCGUAAGCGAC
RNAcentral lists this ribosomal RNA (576 nucleotides) under Sclerocleista thaxteri. RNAcentral's name for it is "eukaryotic LSU rRNA". It matches the Rfam family "Eukaryotic large subunit ribosomal RNA", at positions 58 to 648 of the family's 3401-position model. Lineage: Eukaryota; Fungi; Ascomycota; Eurotiomycetes; Eurotiales; Aspergillaceae. The record is from RNAcentral.